RNAcentral lists this ribosomal RNA (522 nucleotides) under Cardiophorinae sp. UPOL RK0031. RNAcentral describes it as "partial 16S ribosomal RNA". It matches the Rfam family "Bacterial large subunit ribosomal RNA", at positions 1816 to 2610 of the family's 2925-position model. The record is from RNAcentral. Lineage: Eukaryota; Metazoa; Arthropoda; Insecta; Coleoptera; Elateridae.
CAUGUCCUUUUGAUUAUAAUUUAAGGUUUAAUCUGCUCAAUGAGUGUUUAAAUAGCCGCGGUAUUUUGACCGUGCAAAGGUAGCAUAAUAAUUAGCUUUUUUAUUGGGAGCUGGAAUGAAUGAUUGGACGAGAAAAUAACUGUCUCUUUUUUAUGAAUUGAACUUAACUUUUUAGUGAAAAGGCUUAAAUUUUAAUUAAAGACGAGAAGACCCUAUAGAGUUUAAUUGUUUUAAUGUAGUGUUUUUGUUUAGAAUUUAUUUAAUGUUAUGUUAAUAUAAUUUGAUUGGGGUGAUUUUUAGAUUUGGUAAACUCUAAUAGCUUAAAAUCAUUGAUUUGUGAAUGUUGAUUCUAGAAUUAUUUAAUUUUAAAAUAAAUUACCUUAGGGAUAACAGCGUAAUUUCGCUUUAGAGUUCUCAUUAAAAGCGUAGUUUGCGACCUCGAUGUUGGAUUAAAAUAAAUUAUUGGCGCAGUGGCUGAUGGAUUGAGUCUGUUCGACUUUUAAAAUUUUACAUGAUCUGAGU